This 465-nucleotide ribosomal RNA is filed under the name Vreelandella stevensii. RNAcentral's name for it is "partial 16S ribosomal RNA". It matches the Rfam family "Bacterial small subunit ribosomal RNA", at positions 338 to 795 of the family's 1533-position model. Lineage: Bacteria; Pseudomonadati; Pseudomonadota; Gammaproteobacteria; Oceanospirillales; Halomonadaceae. The record is from RNAcentral.
CCUACGGGGGUCAGCAGUGGGGAAUAUUGGACAAUGGGGGGAACCCUGAUCCAGCCAUGCCGCGUGUGUGAAGAAGGCCCUCGGGUUGUAAAGCACUUUCAGUGAGGAAGAACGCCUGGUGGUUAAUACCCAUCAGGAAAGACAUCACUCACAGAAGAAGCACCGGCUAACUCCGUGACAGCAGCCGCGGUAAUACGGAGGGUGCGAGCGUUAAUCGGAAUUACUGGGCGUAAAGCGCGCGUAGGUGGCUUGAUAAGCCGGUUGUGAAAGCCCCGGGCUCAACCUGGGAACGGCAUCCGGAACUGUCAAGCUAGAGUGCAGGAGAGGAAGGUAGAAUUCCCGGUGUAGCGGUGAAAUGCGUAGAGAUCGGGAGGAAUACCAGUGGCGAAGGCGGCCUUCUGGACUGACACUGACACUGAGGUGCGAAAGCGUGGGUAGCAAACAGGAUUAGAUACCCCUGUAGUC